This 244-nucleotide ribosomal RNA is filed under the name uncultured Staphylococcus sp. RNAcentral describes it as "partial 16S ribosomal RNA". It matches the Rfam family "Bacterial small subunit ribosomal RNA", at positions 96 to 334 of the family's 1533-position model. Lineage: Bacteria; Bacillati; Bacillota; Bacilli; Caryophanales; Staphylococcaceae. The record is from RNAcentral.
CGGCGGACGGGUGAGUAACACGUGGAUAACCUACCUAUAAGACUGGGAUAACUUCGGGAAACCGGAGCUAAUACCGGAUAAUAUUUUGAACCGCAUGGUUCAAAAGUGAAAGACGGUCUUGCUGUCACUUAUAGAUGGAUCCGCGCUGCAUUAGCUAGUUGGUAAGGUAACGGCUUACCAAGGCAACGAUGCAUAGCCGACCUGAGAGGGUGAUAGGCCACACUGGAACUGAGACACGGUCCAG